AGAGAUAUCAUAAGCAAGCUCCAUAUGGUCGACCGUGAGUCUUAUUGUCAAUUUCAGAAACUACAAAAUUCACUUCAUGCUCUAUCUCUAUUUUUACUCACACUACCUUACCCUACAAACAUAUAAAGCUCAGACACCUAUUAUAAUGACUAGAUCAUAGGAAACAAUAAUCAUCCCCACUUUUAUGGGGGACCUUUGGAGGUUAUAUGAAAAAGAAUGAGAUGAUCACAGUGAUUAAGAAACAAAAUACAAACAGCAAAAAAUAUGCUGUGUUAGUUCCAAGUCAAAAUAGACUCUAACCAAUCUGAUGUGAAUUCAUAAGCUACAAAUGUUACAGCACCAGCUGGUGCAGCCUUGAUGGUUGAUGGUAAAAUGCCCUUAUAAAGGCCAGCCCAACCCU
RNAcentral lists this unclassified non-coding RNA (400 nucleotides) under Hevea brasiliensis (rubber tree). Lineage: Eukaryota; Viridiplantae; Streptophyta; Magnoliopsida; Malpighiales; Euphorbiaceae. The record is from RNAcentral.